RNAcentral lists this non-coding RNA (21 nucleotides) under Arabidopsis thaliana (thale cress). The record is from RNAcentral. Lineage: Eukaryota; Viridiplantae; Streptophyta; Magnoliopsida; Brassicales; Brassicaceae.
UAUCAGAGUUAGUGACAGUCC